ACAAAAUUUGGACCAUUGGUCUACUGAGCAAUUUCACCCGCUCGGUGGAAGAUUACUCUUUGUCUU
This 66-nucleotide microRNA precursor is filed under the name Bombyx mori (domestic silkworm). Its description in RNAcentral is "mir-2774 microRNA precursor family". It matches the Rfam family "mir-2774 microRNA precursor family". The record is from Rfam by way of RNAcentral. Lineage: Eukaryota; Metazoa; Arthropoda; Insecta; Lepidoptera; Bombycidae.